GGGGUUUCUCUGGGCAGGCGAGUGGUAAAAAUUCCUUUAUCUGCAUCAUAGGACCCUUGCUCGCUUCCGUAUCCAUAUUCUACAAUUCUUCCAGGAGGGGUUAAUCUGAGAAAGUACGGCUUGGCAUAGUAGUCUAGGCCGACCCCUCGAAGUAGACGUUGAACUCGGAGGCCGGGGCAUAGGGCACGCGGAUGGCGAUGGUCAGGAAAUCCGGCUCCUGGCUGAGGCUGAACGCCGGGGUCAGCAUCGCGGCACCAGACGCAGGGGCCAGCGCGGCUCGCCCUCGCUGCCGCGGCGGUCCCACCAAGCAACUCUCUCCAAUUUUACCUUUUUAAAAUAAAAGAUGUCUGGGCCAGGCGCAGUGGCUCACGCUUGUAAUCCCAGCACUUUGGGAAGCCGAGGCGGGUGGAUCCUGACCUGAGGUCAGGAGUUCAAGAUCAGCCCCGCCGACAUGACGAAACUCCGUCUCUACUAAAAAUACAAACAUCAGCCGGACGUGGUGGUGGGCGCCUGUAAUCCCCACUACUCGGGAGGCUGAGGCAGGAGAAUCACUUGAACCCGGGAGGCAGAGGUUGCAAUGAGCCGAGAUCAUGCCACUGUACUCCAGCCUGGGUGACAGAGUGAGACUCUGUCUCAAAAAAAAAAAAAAAAAAAAAAAAAAAAGUCUGUCUUCCAGGACACAGAAGCCUCCUAUACACACAUUUUGGCACUUGAUUAUGUUAUGUCUUUUACAGUUCUCUGCAUGUUUCUUGCAGAAAGUCCUGCUGUCCUCCACCUGGCUACCUCUUGGCUUUAGGAGACACAUGUCUUCUCUCCCCACUGACUGAGAAUGUCAGACUCCUGCCGGCCAGCUGCAUGCUUUCCAGGAGCACCAACAAGGAAAUUCCCUGACAGGUAAAAUCUUUAAAAAUGACACUUUUACCUUCCUGACUUUGGGGGCCAAAUGCCUAAGAGGGAAAGGAAACAGUCUAACCAGAGUCCAGGAAAAUUAAUUGAAUCCCAUGGGGUAGACAUAAAACCCCUGUGGGAAUAUUACAGGUUCAAUAACCUAAUGGCUUAGUAUUUUGCUACUUUAAAAUGCAGAGAUAACAGAAACAAUCUGAAUAUUCUUCAUAUAGCUGGUAAGGACUUCAGUUCCAGUGGCCAUAUGACAUAAUUUUGCCUGUACCCAGAGGCAUUUUUAAAAAUAUAACAUCAGAUUUUAAGGAAUGUAAAGUUGCUAAUCUAACUUGUAAAUUUGCUUGUGUCAUUUACAGAUUAUUUCUGUUGAAACUGCAAACCUGAAUUACUGAAAUCUAGAAAGGCACAGGGACUUACUCUGUCACACACAGCUACUCAUGCACACACACACUGCUUACUAAAAGCUGAGGUGAGAGGAAGGGGGCCUACAUGAAUAACAAGUUCAACUUCUUUGUGCCUGGAAAGAAGGGACUAGCGCAGCCAGGAGACUCACUUUACCUCAUCGCUUGGGCCCUUCUCUAUGCCUUAGUCUCUCCAGCACAUGCACACAGCAUGCACACACAGGCGCCCUACCCAAAGACAGCUGUGGCCUUCUCUCCACCUGGCCGCUGGUUGUUGGGGGUGAGGGGUCCCAUGAAAUUUGUUCUGGUUUCUACGAUGUAAACAAGAAGACUCUAAGCCCUGAAUUGCCCUGCUUUCUAGAGGGUGAAAUGUUGACCCUGCAACUUUAGAAGCACAAUUAUUAAUAACUCUUUUGAAAUUCCCAUCUACCCAUGUCAGAGAAGUUCAACAAGUUCUAGGAAUUAAAUAUGUCUGUUUGUAACCUAGAGCAUGCUCAAUUUUUGGAAGCCAUAUUUCAGUGAUGAUUUUCUUAACACCUUUCUCGUGUAGGGCUUCUUCCCUGAAAAUCUUACAGUCCCUUUCUGUGAAGAGAAAUGGACACAUCCUGGGAACUAUUCCUGUGCCUCUGGACUGUCAUCAGGAAAUGACUGCAGGUCCUGUGCCCUGUCUAUAUUAUGUCCUCACUUCUCCAUCCAUACAG
This 2002-nucleotide long non-coding RNA is filed under the name Homo sapiens (human). Its description in RNAcentral is "HSALNT0162662". The record is from RNAcentral. Lineage: Eukaryota; Metazoa; Chordata; Mammalia; Primates; Hominidae.